UUAACUACCUGACAGAGGAGAUACUAUGAUCAUGAAAGUGGUUUUCCUAGGGCAAGCCUUAUCCAUUGCACUCCAGAUGUGCUGACUCAUGCAAUUUCCCCAAAUGUGGGAAACUCGACUACAUAAUUUCUGGUGGUAGGGGACUGCGUUCAUGUUCUCCCCUA
Small nuclear RNA from Gorilla gorilla gorilla (western lowland gorilla), 164 nucleotides. Its record names the gene U1. It matches the Rfam family "U1 spliceosomal RNA". From Rfam's summary of the family: U1 is a small nuclear RNA (snRNA) component of the spliceosome (involved in pre-mRNA splicing). Its 5' end forms complementary base pairs with the 5' splice junction, thus defining the 5' donor site of an intron. The record is from Ensembl. NCBI's taxonomy places the organism in Eukaryota, Metazoa, Chordata, Mammalia, Primates, Hominidae.